GAUGAACGCUGGCGGCGUGCCUAAUACAUGCAAGUCGAGCGAACAGACGAGGAGCUUGCUCCUAUGACGUUAGCGGCGGACGGGUGAGUAACACGUGGAUAACCUACCUAUAAGACUGGGAUAACUUCGGGAAACCGGAGCUAAUACCGGAUAAUAUAUUGAACCGCAUGGUUCAAUAGUGAAAGACGGUUUUGCUGUCACUUAUAGAUGGAUCCGCGCCGCAUUAGCUAGUUGGUAAGGUAACGGCUUACCAAGGCAACGAUGCGUAGCCGACCUGAGAGGGUGAUCGGCCACACCGGAACUGAGACACGGUCCAGACUCCUACGGGAGGCAGCAGUAGGGAAUCUUCCGCAAUGGGCGAAAGCUUGACGGAGCAACGCCGCGUGAGUGAUGAAGGUCUUCGGAUCGUAAAACUCUGUUAUUAGGGAGGAACAAAUGUGUAAGUAACUAUGCACGUCUUGACGGUACCUAAUCAGAAAGCCACGGCUAACUACGUG
RNAcentral lists this ribosomal RNA (497 nucleotides) under uncultured bacterium. RNAcentral describes it as "partial 16S ribosomal RNA". It matches the Rfam family "Bacterial small subunit ribosomal RNA", at positions 28 to 507 of the family's 1533-position model. The record is from RNAcentral.